CGACAGAGCAAGACUCUGUCUCGAAAAAGAUAAAUAAAUAAUUAUGCUUGCUCAGAAUUCUGCUUUCUGAAAGUAUAUAGCUACUCCAUCUCUUUUUUUGAUUAGUGUUAGCAUGUAUCUUUCUUCAUCCCUGUUUAUAAAUUUUAAUUUUAAUUUUUUAAAAAUAGAGAUGAGGACUCUCCGUGUUGCCCAGGUUGGUCUCAAACUCCUGACCUCAAGCAGUCCUCCUGCCUUAGCAACCCAAAGUGCCGUGAUUACAGCCUUGCUUUGGUAUCGGCACAUUUAAAGAAGUGGUUACCUCUUUCAGAAUUAAUGGAUUGGCUUCAGUUGGGAAAGCUGCGCUCACCUGUUGGUGAGCAUGAGGACAUCAACUGGAUGAAGUAUAUGGCUGAACCAAGUCUGAGGACAGGUGGGAAGAUUGUAUUUCCCUUCUCCUUGAGGUUAGACACAGUUACAUGGCUAGUUGAGCCAACAGAAGAGGAGCCGAAGUGAAAUAUGACACUUCCAAGUGAAAGACUAUAACUGCUGAUGCUUUUCUCUCAUCCCUGCCAAGAGCACAAUCACAGAGGUUCAUAUCCAUAUGAAGGCAGUAUCAGAGUGGAGGAGCUUGGAAUGCUGAGCAAACACACGGAGGAACGCUGCUGUGGUGCAUUACAUGGACUCCAGCAGGCUUCGCAUGAGUGACAAAUACACUUCAGUCAAGCCACUGAGAUUAGGCAGUUUGUCCUGCAGCACAGUCUAGCCUAUUUGGAUGUAUCUGAGUUUAGUCAUGGUAGCAUUAUGCAUCCUUGUAGCUGGGAGGGUCAAGUAACAGUUCUAGCAAACAAAAUAUAAAUUGAGGUGACUGGGCAAGUGAGCCUUCUAGGAAAAGCCUUUUAAAGAAACAAAUUCAGCUGGCAUGAGCAGUUUCUAUUUUUGUCCUUCAUUUUCUUGCCUGGAAUGUAGACAUGAUGGCUGGAACUGUAGGAGUUAUCUUGACAGCAUGAGGACUAGGGUCCCAUCCAAUGGUGCAGUGUGGACAGAGGAAAGGAGAUGGGACCCUGCUGACAUCAUGGAGCUGCCAUACUUUGGACUUCCCACAUCUGGGAUUCAUUUACGGGAGAGGAAAACAAACUUUUGUGUUGUUUAACCCACUGUUUUUCAAGUUUCUAUUCCUAACAGCCCAGUGCAAUUUUUAACUGUUAUGGAAGGUACAGAAGUAAUUUUAAUUCUUCCAGUAUUUAUACUAUUAGUUUUUCAUAUUUUUAUUGUGGAAACUUUCAAACAUAUCCAAAAAUACAGACAGUAGUCAUCAUCCAGCUUCAGCAAUGAUCAACUCAUAGCCAAUCAUGC
Molecule: long non-coding RNA, 1332 nt
Filed under: Homo sapiens (human)
Lineage: Eukaryota; Metazoa; Chordata; Mammalia; Primates; Hominidae
Description: HSALNT0054584
Source: RNAcentral